Molecule: long non-coding RNA, 340 nt
Organism: Sebastes umbrosus (honeycomb rockfish)
Lineage: Eukaryota; Metazoa; Chordata; Actinopteri; Perciformes; Sebastidae
Exons: 2
Source: RefSeq, a predicted model, not a curated record
UUAUUGAGCAGGUUGGCGAAGGUGAUGAAGGCUUCGGCCUCCUCCAGGUUGAGGAUCAGCACAGCAGCGAUGAAUGACAUGCCCUGGACCUGAAACACCACAACAACAAAGACUCCAGCUCAGCAUGAAAGAUGGACUACACCAUCGCUGUGCAUGUGGCAGCCUUAGGUUCUCCUCGGUUAAUCCUCUGCUUGUUUUAUACAUUUUUCAACACGCACACACCAUUUACACCCUCCAUGCACACCUUACACUACUGAUUUUCACACUCCAUACCUUUUGAUCCUUUGUUUUGUAUAUUUUACCCUCUUCUUGUUAAAUAAAUGAAUUGAUUUAAAUGUUA